Pomacea canaliculata is the source of this 321-nucleotide long non-coding RNA. RefSeq lists it as uncharacterized. Lineage: Eukaryota; Metazoa; Mollusca; Gastropoda; Architaenioglossa; Ampullariidae. The transcript is spliced from 3 exons. The record is from RefSeq and is a predicted model, not a curated record.
AACUACUUUCAGCCAAUGGCGUACAUACACGGCGAGCAGGGCGCCAUAUUUUAAACAGUUGUCGCCAUUUUGUUCUCCAGAAGCUGAGCGGAAAAGUGUUCUAGCGAUCAAUUGCAAGAAUAUUUCGACAGUUCGAGAAUACACACACAAAGAUGGCAGAAGACUGGCCACCAAGUAAGAUGACAAAGAUGUGAAGGAGGAAACUCUGCCAGAUAGGUGUACCUGGAGUCUAUGUGAUGUUUGCAUUUUGGGUUCAAAGAGUACAUCCAGCAGCACCACUGCCAGACUCACUACAACCAAAAGUGAUAAACAACCUUUUAU